UACGUAGGGUGCAAGCAUUAAUCGGAAUUAUUGGGCGUAAAGGGCGCGUAGGCGGAUUUGUAAGUCAGAUGUGAAAUUCCGGGGCUCAACCUCGGAGCUGCAUUUGAAACUGUGAGUCUAGAGGGUUGACGGAGAAAACGGAAUUCCACGUGUAGCGGUGAAAUGCGUAGAUAUGUGGAAGAACACCGGUGGCGAAAGCGGUUUUCUAGUUAACACCUGACGCUGAGGCGCGAGAGCAAGGGGAGCAAACAGG
This 253-nucleotide ribosomal RNA is filed under the name uncultured bacterium. Its description in RNAcentral is "partial 16S ribosomal RNA". It matches the Rfam family "Bacterial small subunit ribosomal RNA", at positions 524 to 776 of the family's 1533-position model. The record is from RNAcentral.